AACUUACAUCUACAAACGCCGGGGAAUUACGAGCUACGCUUAAAACCCAAAGGAUUUGACGGUGUCCCACCCCCCUAGAGGAGCCUGUUCUAUAAUCGAUAAUACCCGCUAUACCCAACCACCUCUCGCUAUUCAGUCUGUAUACCUCCGUCGAAAGCUUACCAUGUGAACGCCUACAGUAAGUACAAUGGCUACCAACGUCAACACGUCAGGUCAAGGUGCAGCUUAAGUGGUGGAAAGUAAUUGGCUACAAUUUCUAACCUAGAACAAACGGAAGGCUAUGUGAAACCAUAGUUCUGAAGGCGGAUUUAGUAGUAAAAAGAAAAUAGAGCGUUCUUUUUAACCCGGCUCUGGGACGCGUACACACCGCCCGUC
RNAcentral lists this ribosomal RNA (375 nucleotides) under Odorrana graminea (large odorous frog). Its description in RNAcentral is "partial 12S ribosomal RNA". It matches the Rfam family "Bacterial small subunit ribosomal RNA", at positions 875 to 1398 of the family's 1533-position model. The record is from RNAcentral. Lineage: Eukaryota; Metazoa; Chordata; Amphibia; Anura; Ranidae.